This 1025-nucleotide ribosomal RNA is filed under the name Minisyncoccota bacterium. RNAcentral describes it as "partial 23S ribosomal RNA". It matches the Rfam family "Bacterial large subunit ribosomal RNA", at positions 2423 to 2925 of the family's 2925-position model. Lineage: Bacteria; Bacillati; Minisyncoccota. The record is from RNAcentral.
ACAUUUCGCAUUAGAUGCGGAUGAAGAUUAACGGAUAGAAGCUACUCUAGGGAUAACAGGCUAGUUCCGCCUAAGAGUUCAUAUCGACGGCGGAGUUCGGCACCUCGAUGUCGGCUCACCUUAUCCUGGUGGUGGAGAAGCUGCCAAGGGUUUAGCUGUUCGCUAAUUAAAAAGGUACGCGAGCUGGGUUCAAACCGUACAGAAGUUAUAAAGUAGAAAGUUUAUAAAGUUAAAAGUAGAUUACAGAUGCAAAUGCAUUUUGAAUUUACUUUAUGACUUGAUAACUUGAUGAACUUUUGACUAUUGUACAGUUUGAGCCCCACGAGGAAAAUUAAAACUGUUUUAAUCUGAGAUUUAAGACCAUGGUGCACUGUUGUGCAUUCACGGCGGUAUAAUAUAGAAAUAUAUUAUAAGAAGUUCACUUAUAUCGGUGGAACCCCACUCAUGCAAAUGAAGGGCAAUACCGAGGGAAGUUUUAUGGGUUUUAUAAAGGGGAUGAGGAAGUUUUGUUUUAAAAUAUACUUGGUCUGAUUUAUUAGGCCCAGUGACCGUACUGUAACGGUCCAAAAACAGAAUCCUUUUCCUCUCUUUUAUAAAACUCAUAAGAUACCCGUAGAGACUAAAUGUGAACCAUCUUGCAAGAGAUGAAGUUAUAGUCCAAUCCACUUAGUAAUAAGUGAAAAAUCGUGUAUGACACCUUCGUCGGUGAAAACAUACAUGAUAGUAUGAUGCGUGAGACAGGUUAGUCUCCUAUCUACUGCAGGCGUUGAUUCUUGAGAAGAUUUGCUCCUAGUACGAGAGGACCGGAGUGAACUGACCUCUGGUGUGUCGGCUCUAGCGCCCGCUGGACUGCCGAGUAGCUAUGUCGGGAAUGGAUAACCUCUGAAAGCAUCUAAGAGGGAAGCCAGCUUCAAGAUGAGGAAUCGUUUGAGAAACCUGAGAGAUGAUCAGGUUGAUAGGCACUAGGUGUACAUGCAGUAAUGCAUUGAGCCAAGGUGUACUAAUCGUUCGAUUCCUAUUAGGAA